Molecule: small RNA, 383 nt
Filed under: Lysinibacillus odysseyi 34hs-1 = NBRC 100172
Lineage: Bacteria; Bacillati; Bacillota; Bacilli; Caryophanales; Bacillaceae
Description: cspA thermoregulator
Rfam family: cspA thermoregulator
Source: Rfam by way of RNAcentral
AUAGGAAACAAGUUGAAUUCACCUAUUACAAAGAGUAAUCAGUGGUAUUUGAUACUUUUUGUAAUAUGUGAAUUUUUUUAUUUAAAAAAAGCUUAUAUAUUAAAUUUUUUAUUAAUGGAGGUCAUUUACAUGACACAAGGUACAGUAAAAUGGUUUAACGCAGAAAAAGGUUUUGGAUUCAUCGAAGUUGAAGGCGGAUCAGACGUAUUCGCUCACUUCUCAGCAAUCCAAGGCGACGGCUUCAAAACUUUAGAAGAAGGCCAAAAGGUUGAAUUCGAAGUAGAACAAGGCCAACGCGGACCACAAGCUACAAACAUCGUAAAACUUUAAUUUUUACGUAUAGUUAUAGCCAAGAGGAAUCCUAUUACAGGGUUCCUCUUUUU